UACGGAGGGUGCAAGCGUUGUCCGGAAUUAUUGGGCGUAAAGAGCUCGUAGGCGGUUUGUCGCGUCUGCUGUUAAAACCCGAGGCUCAACCUCGUGCCUGCAGUGGGUACGGGCAAACUAGAGUGCGGUAGGGGAGAUUGGAAUUCCUGGUGUAGCGGUGGAAUGCGCAGAUAUCAGGAGGAACACCGAUGGCGAAGGCAGAUCUCUGGGCCGUAACUGACGCUGAGGAGCGAAAGCGUGGGGAGCGAACAGG
RNAcentral lists this unclassified non-coding RNA (253 nucleotides) under uncultured Micrococcales bacterium. RNAcentral's name for it is "contains 16S-23S intergenic spacer region". It matches the Rfam family "Bacterial small subunit ribosomal RNA", at positions 524 to 776 of the family's 1533-position model. Lineage: Bacteria; Bacillati; Actinomycetota; Actinomycetes; Micrococcales. The record is from RNAcentral.